UGUUUCUUAUUUCUGCUGUUCUCCUGUAACGGUCACAUUUUCUGGUGAGAGGAAACAGUUUUGAAUGUGUGUCCCACCCCUCUGAUUAAAGCACAAUAUCAGACUGUCUGUUAGUCAGGACUGUCAAACCAACAUCACUGUUCCUUCAGUUCUCACUCAUUCACAGUAAAGAUGACAGCACACGCUCUCAUUAUCUGCUCUCUACUGCUUUUCAUUGCUGAGUGUAAUGGACAGAUCACAGUCACUCAGAAUCCCUCAACAACAGCAGCUCAACCAGGACAACAAGUUAAAAUAAACUGUAAAACCAGCAGUGAUACCUCCUACUUGAGCUGGUACUUACAGAAACCUGGAGAAGCUCCUAAACUCCUCAUAUAUUAUGCAACAAGCCGCUACACUGGAACUCCAUCUAGAUUCAGUGGCAGUGGAUCUAAUAGUGAUUUCACUCUGACCAUCAGUGGAGUCCAGACUGAAGAUGCAGGACAUUAUUACUGUCAGAGUUAUCACAGUGGUCCAGUGUUCACACAGUGAUAAAGAGUCGUACAAAAACCUCCUUCAGUGAAAGAGGAACUACUGAUACAGAAACAGUUUCUCUGAAUGUUACAUUAUAAAUUGACAUGGACACAAAGUUUUUGAUUUUGAUAUUUCACACUCAACACUACAUAUGAAACUGGACGACACAUUUUAUUAUAAAUUGAGUAAUUUUUGGUUUAUGUUUUACUUGCUGAUAUGACACUAGUCUUAAACUUUACUGACCGCUAUCCAUGUGAAUACAGCAUCAUGCAAUCAUAAAACAUUUGUUUUCACAGAUGUCAUAUUUUAAUGUAAUUCAUAACUUUAAACAUUUGACUUGUUUCACCCCCUCAAUUGGACAGGCUCAUAUAAAGUGAGAGGUGAUGUCACAUACAUGUUUUUCAGGUAUUCAAAUAGAUUCAUCUAGUGCUGGAGUCUCUUGUUUGAUCGAGUGUGUGUGUUGAUAAAGUGAUUUUUCAGGAGCGUUUUUAAGACAAGACUUGAGGAGAGUCAAGAGCACAGAUAUCAAAACUAACUCUAAUAGAGAGACAAUUCUUCUUCAAGACACUCAACUCCUCAUUUCUGAAAAUGGAAGAACACAUCCAACAGAAUAAAGAAGAGUCUCCCUCCCUCUUUCUUUCUAUUCUUCUUCUUUUUAACACACAAUCACACACUUUCCUUCAAUACACUCAGUCACACAGCACAAUUUCACUCAAUAUCAAAGAACUACAAUUCACUUCACAGUCAAACACUUCUUCCUCUCUCCAUGGAAAGACACAAACUGAAGUCUCUCAGUAACCUGUACCAUCUGCCUCCACUAAUUAACCCUCAUAAUGAAGCUCAUUAGUGGCUUGAACAUCUCAAACAACACCAACAGAGAGAGACAAAGUAAAGUAGUAUUGAUGUUGAAUAGUUGGGUUGUAUUAGUUGUUUUGAUGUUUUUUUAAUGUUGUUGUGUUAGAAAAAGAAUAUGCUGGGUUCAUACAUUUUGACAACCGUGUUGUUUUAAGCAGUAAUGAGUUAGUAGUAAUUUAAACGAA
Molecule: non-coding RNA, 1550 nt
Organism: Myxocyprinus asiaticus (Chinese sucker)
Lineage: Eukaryota; Metazoa; Chordata; Actinopteri; Cypriniformes; Catostomidae
Source: the annotation of a RefSeq genome assembly